AGGCGGACCCAGAGACAGGAAGAGUGGCAUCUGAGCAUGUGAGAGAUUUAAAGGAAUGCCUGCAGUUGGUGAGGGAUGUGGCAUGUGAGAAUUUGGGGCAGGCACAGAACAAAUAAGAGAGGUACAAUGUGCAUUUUAAGGAGAGAGAGCUAAAAGUGGAUCAAAAGGUGUUGGCAUUGUUACCCAGCUUGACAAGCAAGUUUUAAACAUGUUGGCAAGGACCUUUCAAGGUGCUAAGAAGAAUGGGGCCAGUAGAUUAUGAGAUAUCCCAUCCAGGAGCCAAGAGAGAAAAACAGGUUUUCCACAUAAAUCUACUUAAAGAAUGGCAUGAACCUGAGGGCCUACUGAUCUCUCCUGACCCAGAGUCAGAGGAAUUUGGGCACCAGAUUGCAGAAAAUUCUAGCGAACCAGGAGACACAAACAAGGUCCCCAUUGGAAGCCAACUAGAGGAAGAACAGCAGAGACACAGAGAUUAAUCAAAGAUUUCUCGGAUGUUUUCACUGAAAGUCCAGGGAAAGCUAUAGGGGUUGAACAUAAAAUUAUUACCAAAGAGGGUCACAUAGUGCGGGAAAAAUGGAGGAGGAUCCCUUAUCAUAGAUAUCAACCUAUCAAAGAAGAGUUAGAAAAGAUGUUAGCCCAAAGGAUUAUCACUCCAUCACAUAGCCCAUGGCGUAGUCCAUUGGUAGCGGUGCCAAAACCUGAUGGAAUAUUGCGAUUAUGCAUAGAUUUUUGCAAGUUAAAUGUCAUGACCUAAUUUGAUGUGUUCCCAAUGCCUCACGUGAGCGAAUUAGUGGAACGUAUAGGACAGGCAAAAUUUAUAUCCACUCUAGAUUUAUCAAAAGGCUACUGGCAGGUGCUCUUAAGAACAGAAGACCAACCGAAGACAGUCUACGGAACCCCAUGGGGGCUUUUUGAAUGUAAAAGAAUGCCAUUUGGACUCAAUGUGGUGGUGGCCACCUUUCAAAGGCUAAUCAAUUGGGUGUUCACUCCGCACCAAGGUUACGCAUCGGCAUAUAUUGACGACAUUGUAGUUUAUACGGAAUCCUGGGAACAACACCUAAGGGCUUUAAGAGCCAUCUUACUGGAGCUAAAGCAAGUAGGACUGACUGCCAACCCAAAGAAGUGUGCUUUGGGGAAGACGGAAACUAAAUUUAGGAUUCUUGGUAGGGCAAGGAUGUGUGAGACCCCUGGCCGAUAAAGUACAAGUUAUUAGAGAGUAUCAGGCACCUCGGAACAAGAAACAAAUGAGAGCGUUCUUAGGGCUCACAAGUUAUUACAGGUGUUUUAUACCCAAGUUUGCAGAGGUAGCGGCACCCUUAGUCAAGGCUAUUAAAGGGUAAGAAGUCACAUCAAAUUGCAUGGGACUUGGUUCAAUGGAAGGCCUUUGAAGACCUCAAGCAGGCAUUGUGCCAAGAUGUAAUACUCCAUACUCCCAAUUUUGCACUGCCCUUCACCUUGCAGACUGACACCUCAGCAUUCGCACUGGGAGCUGUUUUGUCCCAGGAAGUGGAAGGAGUGGAGCGACCGGUGGCAUAUGCCAGCCAAAAAUUGAAUGAGCAUGAGAAAAGGUACUCCACAGUGGAUCGGGAAUGUCUUGCUAUUCAUUGGGGGGUGGACUAUUUCCGUUAUUACUUGCUGGGCCGUGAAUUUAAAUUGAUAACAGAUCAUGCCCCCUUGAGAUGGAUGAACACCGCAAAAACAGAUAAUACUCACAUUAUGCGGUGGGCGUUAGCUCUCAACCGUUUUGAUUUUGUGUUGCGUACAGGCCAGGAAGAGUGAAUACGGUGGCUGAUUUCCUAUAUUGGUGUGACAUAGACGGCCUGAGUAAGAUGAAGGAAGAAGAGGAGGGAGAAGAAGUCAGCAACCUGAAGGAGAACCAAACAGAGACCCUGGGUCAGAACCUGCUGGCUGGACCAGUAACAAGAAGACGAUUCAAUGCCCGGUGGAAUGGACGAGGGUGUAGGGGAUGGUGGAGCCCUCAUGAACAUAGGACGGUGGACGACGACUGACUGGAACUACACGCCCAGUUCCACUUGCAAUGCCACUGCUGAGGACAUGCAGGCUGCCGUAAAUGCACACAUGGACAGGAUCGUGAAUGCCCUCAGGGACUGUAAGCAUUGGCUGCAUGAGAUGGUGAGACACAUCCAGCUGGCUAUGGACAGAUUGAUGGCCAUCCAGUCUGACAGGAAUCACUCCGAGUACAGGAGGCAUUCCCAGACCCAGGACUGGCAAAUAAUGGCCAGGCUCUCCUUGCAAUGAUUUUAUGCCUACUGGUCAUCAGCCCCGCUCCUGCCUGGGAGUGUGGCAGGCCAGCAUAGAUCCACCCUCUGCCAUCCACCAGUUCACAGUCAAGCUCAGAAAGUCCACCUUAGAGCCAAGGUCUUUUAGUUAAAAAUGAUUAUUGCUUAGAUUGUUGUGUUUUUUUUUCAUGAAUCAUGCAUGAUUAUGGUAGUACAAAGAAAUUCCUCUGUUGUAGUAAUUAUUCAUUGUUAUAUUAUAAAAGCUGUUCUGUUGUUUGUUUAAUUAUGAUUAAAAUUUGGUGUGUAAAUAAAGGUUUCUAUUUACUUUGUUCGAUUCUUAACUUCACAUUCCCUGUGUGUAAGAGGGUGGGAGGAGGGGGUUUGCUGGCUUGUAGGAUGAGGGGCUUGCAUAAGCCAC
Long non-coding RNA from Alligator mississippiensis (American alligator), 2658 nucleotides. RefSeq lists it as uncharacterized. The transcript has 3 exons. NCBI's taxonomy places the organism in Eukaryota, Metazoa, Chordata, Crocodylia, Alligatoridae. The record is from RefSeq and is a predicted model, not a curated record.